UACGAAGGGGGCGAGCGUUGUUCGGAUUUACUGGGCGUAAAGGGCGCGUAGGCGGCCCCUCCUAGUCGCGUGUGAAAGCCCCCGGGCUCAACCUGGGAAUUGCGCGCGAAACGGGGGGGCUUGAGUUCGGGAGAGGAGCGUGGAAUUCCCGAGUGUAGAGGUGAAAUUCGUAGAUAUUGGGAGGAACACCAGUGGCGAAGGGCGAGUCUCUGGACGCACCUGACACUGAGGCACGAAAGCUAGGGGCAGCGAAACAGG
RNAcentral lists this ribosomal RNA (258 nucleotides) under uncultured bacterium. RNAcentral's name for it is "partial 16S ribosomal RNA". It matches the Rfam family "Bacterial small subunit ribosomal RNA", at positions 524 to 776 of the family's 1533-position model. The record is from RNAcentral.